RNAcentral lists this ribosomal RNA (443 nucleotides) under uncultured bacterium. RNAcentral describes it as "partial 16S ribosomal RNA". It matches the Rfam family "Bacterial small subunit ribosomal RNA", at positions 338 to 795 of the family's 1533-position model. The record is from RNAcentral.
CCUACGGGAGGCAGCAGUGGGGAAUAUUGGGCAAUGGGCGCAAGCCUGACCCAGCAACGCCGCGUGAAUGAAGAAGGCUCUCGGGUUGUAAACUUCUUUUGUCAGGGACGAAGCAAGUGACAGUACCUGAUGAAUUAGCCACGGCUAACUACGGGCCAGCAGCCGCGGUAAUACGUAGGUGGCGAGCGUUAACCGGAUUUACUGGGUGUAAAGGGCGGGUAGGCGGUAAAUGAAGUCAGAUGUGAAAACCAUGGGCUUAACCUGUGGCCUGCAUUUGACACUGUUUCUCUUGAGUACUUGAGAGGUAGACGGAAUUCCUCGUGUAGCGGUGAAAUGCGUAGAUAUUAGGAGGAACACCGGAGGCGAAGGCGGUCUGCUGGACAGCAACUGACGCUGAGGCGCGAAAGCGUGGGGAGCAAACAGGAUUAGAUACCCCUGUAGUC